AAAAAAUUAAAAGGAGAGUAAAAGAGGAGAAAGAGAGAGAGAUAAAUGAGAAGGAGCAAAGAAAGAAAGAAGAAAUGAGAGACUCAAAAGAGAGAAAAUAGAGAAAGAAAACCAAGCAAAUAAAGAAAAGCAAAGGAAGAAAAGCAAAGAAAAGGGAAAGAAAAAAAAAAGACAAAGGGAAAAAAGAAAGAAAGAGAAGCAAAGAAAAAAAAAUAACUAAAAGGAAAGCAAAGACAGAGAGAGAAAGAAGAGCAAAUAAAUAGGGAAGAGCAAAGAGAGGGGAGGCGAACGAGGUGCACAAGGACGGAGCCGAGGCGUGGCUACUUCAUCUUCCAACCCAAUGUUUGAUUGAACGUUAUCUUCACCUUAUGUCAAAAGAACAAGUCUAUGGGAUACUGGUAGCUUUCUCCAAAAAUCUGGAAAUUGACAAGAAUUUGGUGGCACUUACAGCAAAGGAAGAUUUGCACGAGCACAUAAAUUCAAUCAGCUAUUAAGAGACUGAAUCAAAGGAUGCAUCAAAAUGAAUGUUGCAUAUGAUUUCCUGAAAGCUGUGGUGCUGGCAAGGCUCAGAUUAGUAGCUGUGUGUUGGUGAUUCCUAAAUCCCUAGGAAAGGAUUUAUAUCGCUAGGGAAUAUAUCACUCCUGUGCCUUUUAUAUUUUUAUAUACAUUAUCCUGUACUCAUUAUGUGUUAUAGUCCCAAAUGGUUUACAUUUCAAGGCAUGAAACAGAUUCAAAUGGUCUCGGUUAAAAAUAUGUCUACCAGAAAAGUAGAUUUUUUUCCUUUCCUGUUGUAUAGAAUUUUUUACACCAAAAGCUAUCAAAGACAACGAAUGAAAUAUAUUAAAUUCUGCAGUAGAGUGUAUGCGCCAUCUCAUGUUGUGCAUUGUGUGCUCUGUCACGUUGUGCUAAUGUCACGGUUUAGUUUGAGUUUUAUAUAAUACAUGUAUCGACACCAUAAUAUUUCAAUCUUAUUUCUUGUUAUCUUACUUUAUUGCCAAUAAAUUACAGGAUUUAUAAUUCCCAAA
This 1025-nucleotide long non-coding RNA is filed under the name Gallus gallus (chicken). Its description in RNAcentral is "lncRNA (ENSGALG00010010203.1)". Lineage: Eukaryota; Metazoa; Chordata; Aves; Galliformes; Phasianidae. The record is from RNAcentral.